CGUGUAGGCGGUUGGGCAAGUCAGAUGUGAAAGCCUUCUGCUUAACAGAAGAAGUGCAUUUGAAACUACCCGGCUAGAGUACGGGAGAGGAGAGUGGAAUUCCCGGUGUAGAGGUGAAAUUCGUAGAUAUCGGGAGGAACACCAGUGGCGAAGGCGGCUCUCUGGCCCGAUACUGACGCUGAGACGCGAAAGCGUGGGGAGCAAACAGGAUUAGAUACCCUGGUAGUCCACGCCCUAAACGAUGGGCACUAGGUGUAGGAGGUAUUGACCCCUUCUGUGCCGAAGCUAACGCAUUAAGUGCCCCGCCUGGGGAGUACGGCCGCAAGGCUAAA
This 332-nucleotide ribosomal RNA is filed under the name uncultured bacterium. Its description in RNAcentral is "bacterial SSU rRNA". It matches the Rfam family "Bacterial small subunit ribosomal RNA", at positions 568 to 898 of the family's 1533-position model. The record is from RNAcentral.